This 277-nucleotide ribosomal RNA is filed under the name uncultured Lactobacillus sp. RNAcentral's name for it is "partial 16S ribosomal RNA". It matches the Rfam family "Bacterial small subunit ribosomal RNA", at positions 254 to 524 of the family's 1533-position model. Lineage: Bacteria; Bacillati; Bacillota; Bacilli; Lactobacillales; Lactobacillaceae. The record is from RNAcentral.
UAGGUAACGGCUACCAAGGCGAUGAUGCAUAGCCCGAGUUGAGAGACUGAUCGGCCACAUUGGGACUGAGACACGGCCCAAACUCCUACGGGAGGCAGCAGUAGGGAAUCUUCCACAAUGGACGAAAGUCUGAUGGAGCAACGCCGCGUGAGUGAAGAAGGUUUUCGGAUCGUAAAGCUCUGUUGUUGGUGAAGAAGGAUAGAGGUAGUAACUGGCCUUUAUUUGACGGUAAUCAACAGAAAGUCACGGCUAACUACGUGCCAGCAGCCGCGGUAAU